UGGACAAAUUAUUAUAUUCGACAGUAUUCGACUGUAUUCACGGCGUGAAAUAGGGGAUUAUACGGUUUUUAAAAGGGAAAGUGAAUCAAUUAACAUGAUAGACUCCU
RNAcentral lists this microRNA precursor (107 nucleotides) under Nicotiana attenuata. Its description in RNAcentral is "MIR6152 microRNA precursor family". It matches the Rfam family "MIR6152 microRNA precursor family". Lineage: Eukaryota; Viridiplantae; Streptophyta; Magnoliopsida; Solanales; Solanaceae. The record is from Rfam by way of RNAcentral.